Molecule: long non-coding RNA, 350 nt
Filed under: Mustela putorius furo (domestic ferret)
Lineage: Eukaryota; Metazoa; Chordata; Mammalia; Carnivora; Mustelidae
Description: lncRNA (ENSMPUG00000030533.1)
Source: RNAcentral
UGUAUCCCCAAAGUUGUAACCCGGGACUCCUCGCACCUCAACCCCUAACAGUGUACAGGUCCCCAGUUCGGGCUCACCCUAGGCAGGAGCUUUCCGACAAGGCCUCACUACCCACGGCGUCGUCCGGAGGAAGUUCUCGAGGGCUACGAGGUCCAGUGAAUUCUUCCUCUGCUGUGCUGAGUGUGCUGGCCUGAAACCAAGGGUGUCGUUUCAUUCCCAACCUCCGGGCCGAUUCUGGGCACAGGAAACAGCGGCCUGAGAUCAGUUUUCAUCUUGGAAGCUACAGGUAAGGCUCUAAAUCAUUAAAUAAUUUAAGGAGAAUUUAUAUCUGUACACUAUUCUCUUCCCCU